Molecule: long non-coding RNA, 249 nt
Organism: Lacerta agilis (Sand lizard)
Lineage: Eukaryota; Metazoa; Chordata; Lepidosauria; Squamata; Lacertidae
Exons: 2
Source: RefSeq, a predicted model, not a curated record
AUGUGAGGCAGAUGAAUAAUAAUAGUGCUGAAAGAAAUUCCACCACGCCUACUGAGGAAAAAAGAGAGAAUGAUAAACCGGAGACGAUUGUGUUUCACCCUUGCCAGGAACAGGAGGAGUCUCCGGGAUCAAGCUUUGAUGAAUGCAGAAGUCCACUUUCAAGAGGCCUCAGACUCCUAAGAUGGGCAUAGGAGCGUUGCUAUAUUCGCCUCAGCCCUCCAAAACGGAAGCCAUUUCAUCGAUGAAGGU